AUUGAACGCUGGCGGCAGGCCUAACACAUGCAAGUCGAGCGGUAACACAGAGAGCUUGCUCUCGGGUGACGAGCGGCGGACGGGUGAGUAAUGUCUGGGAAACUGCCUGAUGGAGGGGGAUAACUACUGGAAACGGUAGCUAAUACCGCAUGAUGUCGCAAGACCAAAGAGGGGGACCUUCGGGCCUCUUGCCAUCAGAUGUGCCCAGAUGGGAUUAGCUAGUAGGUAAGGUAACGGCUUACCUAGGCGACGAUCCCUAGCUGGUCUGAGAGGGUGAUCG
Molecule: ribosomal RNA, 280 nt
Filed under: uncultured bacterium
Lineage: Bacteria
Description: partial 16S ribosomal RNA
Rfam family: Bacterial small subunit ribosomal RNA
Source: RNAcentral